This is a long non-coding RNA of Anoplopoma fimbria (sablefish), 829 nucleotides long. RefSeq lists it as uncharacterized. The transcript has 3 exons. NCBI's taxonomy places the organism in Eukaryota, Metazoa, Chordata, Actinopteri, Perciformes, Anoplopomatidae. The record is from RefSeq and is a predicted model, not a curated record.
UAUUAAACCAAAGCAGCAUCUCACAGCGACGGACGAGCUUUACUCACCAAAAGAGUCAAUCAGGAAACAACCAUGGUGUGACUGAUAAUAAAGGCUAGCAUCUACGUGGUCCGGAGGAUCCGGGCUUCCAUUGCUGCUGGAGAGCAACUGGAGAAGCCCAUCAUCACACCAUGUAGUGCUAUUGCUGAAAUGAGAGCGGGGCAGGGUUCGAGUGGGAACGCCCAAGCGGCUGCACUGAUCCCAGGACCUGAAGAAGGUGUCAGCAGAGUGAAGGACUCGGGGACGUCCUCAGAGACGGCUCUGCAGAAAUCUGGCUCCUGACGUUAAAGACCACUCUGGACAUUGGGACAGUGGUCACUACAAUAGAAAAAUUAAAUUUGUCAUCUUUUUUAUUUUUGCUUUAUGGGACAAUAACACAUUAUCCCGGAUCAUUACAAGUACAUGCAGAAUCAUUUAGAUGCAAUGGUAACUAUUCAUUUCAUCUGUAAGACCAUUAUUUUACCCUUUUCCAGUGUCCAUGCUGUUCUCGGUGGCCAAUGUCCAGCUCUUAAUGACACACAUUCAUGUCUUUUUCACAGCUGACAUUUUGACUUACCAUAGGAAAUAAACUAGAACCUUUGCUGGUGAGCUUCACACAAUACUCCAGGCACCUAGAUGUUAUGGAGACUUUAAUGUUAUUACAUUUAUGUGGUUAGUCAACAUGUUCUCUGUGACCAAGUCCUGUAUUUAUGUACUGCAGUGUUUGAAGGCCGACUCACAAACCUCUCUCAAGGGGCCGAGCACGCCUGAUGUUUCUGCUGCUGUUUCAAUAAAUACAUAAUAAAAGAAA